Molecule: ribosomal RNA, 450 nt
Filed under: uncultured bacterium
Lineage: Bacteria
Description: partial 16S ribosomal RNA
Rfam family: Bacterial small subunit ribosomal RNA
Source: RNAcentral
GUGGGGAAUUUUGGACAAUGGGCGAAAGCCUGAUCCAGCCAUGCCGCGUGCAGGAUGAAGGCCUUCGGGUUGUAAACUGCUUUUGUACGGAACGAAAAGACUCCUUCUAAUAAAGGGGGUCCAUGACGGUACCGUAAGAAUAAGCACCGGCUAACUACGUGCCAGCAGCCGCGGUAAUACGUAGGGUGCAAGCGUUAAUCGGAAUUACUGGGCGUAAAGCGUGCGCAGGCGGUUAUAUAAGGCAGAUGUGAAAUCCCCGGGCUCAACCUGGGAACUGCAUUUGUGACUGUAUAGCUAGAGUACGGUAGAGGGGGAUGGAAUUCCGCGUGUAGCAGUGAAAUGCGUAGAUAUGCGGAGGAACACCGAUGGCGAAGGCAAUCCCCUGGACCUGUACUGACGCUCAUGCACGAAAGCGUGGGGAGCAAACAGGAUUAGAAACCCUGGUAGUCC